AGCGAACGCUGGCGGCAGGCCUAACACAUGCAAGUCGAACGGACCCUUCGGGGUUAGUGGCGGACGGGUGAGUAACACGUGGGAACGUGCCUUUAGGUUCGGAAUAGCUCCUGGAAACGGGUGGUAAUGCCGCAUGUGCCCUUCGGGGGAAAGAUUUAUCGCCUUUAGAGCGGCCCGCGUCUGAUUAGCUAGUUGGUGAGGUAACGGCUCACCAAGGCGACGAUCAGUAGCUGGUCUGAGAGGAUGACCAGCCACACUGGGACUGAGACACGGCCCAGACUCCUACGGGAGGCAGCAGUGGGGAAUCUUGCGCAAUGGGCGAAAGCCUGACACAGCCAUGCCGCGUGAAUGAUGAAGGUCUUAGGAUUGUAAAAUUCUUUCACCGGGGACGAUAAUGACGGUACCCGGAGAAGAAGCCCCGGCUAACUUCGUG
This 433-nucleotide ribosomal RNA is filed under the name uncultured bacterium. Its description in RNAcentral is "partial 16S ribosomal RNA". It matches the Rfam family "Bacterial small subunit ribosomal RNA", at positions 29 to 507 of the family's 1533-position model. The record is from RNAcentral.